This 520-nucleotide ribosomal RNA is filed under the name uncultured Glomus. Its description in RNAcentral is "SSU rRNA". It matches the Rfam family "Eukaryotic small subunit ribosomal RNA", at positions 569 to 1091 of the family's 1831-position model. Lineage: Eukaryota; Fungi; Glomeromycota; Glomeromycetes; Glomerales; Glomeraceae. The record is from RNAcentral.
AGCAGCCGCGGUAAUUCCAGCUCCAAUAGCGUAUAUUAAAGUUGUUGCAGUUAAAAAGCUCGUAGUUGAAUUUCGGGGUCAAUACGUCGGUCGUGCCUCGGUACGUACUAACGUUAUUGAUCCCUCCCUUCUGACGAACCAUGAUGUCAUUUAUUUGGUGUUGUGGGGAAUCAGGACUGUUACUUUGAAAAAAAUUAGAGUGUUUAAAGCAGGCUCACGCUUGAAUACAUUAGCAUGGAAUAAUGAAAUAGGACGUUUGAUUCUAUUUUGUUGGUUUCUAGGAUCGACGUAAUGAUUAAUAGGGAUAGUUGGGGGCAUUAGUAUUCAAUUGUCAGAGGUGAAAUUCUUGGAUUUAUUGAAGACUAACUACUGCGAAAGCAUUUGCCAAGGAUGUUUUCAUUAAUCAAGAACGAAAGUUAGGGGAUCGAAGACGAUCAGAUACCGUCGUAGUCUUAACCAUAAACUAUGCCGACUAGGGAUCGGAUGAUGUUAAUUUUUAAUGACUCAUUCGGCGCCUUAC